RNAcentral lists this transfer RNA (77 nucleotides) under Geobacter sp. RNAcentral describes it as "tRNA-Pro". It matches the Rfam family "tRNA". Rfam says of the family: Transfer RNA (tRNA) molecules are approximately 80 nucleotides in length. Their secondary structure includes four short double-helical elements and three loops (D, anti-codon, and T loops). Further hydrogen bonds mediate the characteristic L-shaped molecular structure. tRNAs have two regions of fundamental functional importance: the anti-codon, which is responsible for specific mRNA codon recognition, and the 3' end, to which the tRNAs corresponding amino acid is attached (by aminoacyl-tRNA synthetases). tRNAs cope with the degeneracy of the genetic code in two manners: having more than one tRNA (with a specific anti-codon) for a particular amino acid; and 'wobble' base-pairing, i.e. permitting non-standard base-pairing at the 3rd anti-codon position. Lineage: Bacteria; Pseudomonadati; Thermodesulfobacteriota; Desulfuromonadia; Geobacterales; Geobacteraceae. The record is from RNAcentral. RNAcentral also lists the same sequence under 5 other names.
CGGGAUGUAGCGCAGCCUGGUAGCGCACCUGCUUCGGGAGCAGGGGGUCGCAAGUUCAAUUCUUGUCAUCCCGACCA